Molecule: ribosomal RNA, 246 nt
Filed under: uncultured bacterium
Lineage: Bacteria
Description: partial 16S ribosomal RNA
Rfam family: Bacterial small subunit ribosomal RNA
Source: RNAcentral
UACGUAGGGUGCAAGCGUUUGUCCGGAAUUAUUGGGCGUAAAGAGCUCGUAGGCGCUUGUCGCGUCGGCUGUGAAAACCUGGGGCUCAACCCCGGGCCUGCAGCCGAUACGGGCAAGCUAGAAUUCGGUAGGGGAGACUGGAAUUCCAGGUGUAGCGGUGAAAAUGCGUAGAUAUCUGGAGGAACACCGGUGGCGAAGGCGCAUCCUGGACCGACGACUGACGCUGACGGAGCGAAAGCCAGGGGA